CCCGCUGAACUUAAGCAUAUCAGUAGGCGGAGGAAAAGAAACUAACGAGGAUUCCCCUAGUAACUGCGAGUGAACAGGGAUCCCGCUGCUCGACGCUCAAGCCCCGUUAAAGGGCGAGAUGGUUUACUUAGGUUUACCGUCGCGUCGUAGGGGCAGUUUGGCGCAAUGCGUACGCUGCGAUCCAAAAUUGGCGCGCGGCUUUGGGCUAAAGAAGUGUCCGUGAGUGGUCAUUGGCUUUCAAGUUCCCAGAGAGGGUGACAGGCCCGUGCUGGAACAACCUUUCGGGGUUACCGAGCCCUUUGGCCCGCGCUAGGAUCGAUGUGGUUCGCGACGAGUCAGAUUGCUUGAGAGUGCAAUCCCAAGAAUUUGGGGUGGUAAACUCCACCCAAGGCUAAAUAUUUUUCCACCAGACCGAUAGCAAACAAGUACCGUGAGGGAAAGUUGCAAAGAACUCUGAAGAGAGGGUUCAAAAGAACGUGAAACCGAUGGGCGAGAAGCGGGAGGCUUGCCUCGAAAUAUCGAGGGACCGAGAUUCAGCCGGAUGUACCUCGCCGGCGUUUUUCGUGGUCUGGACGCGUGUCGUUCGUCUCUCUACUUCGGUGGGGAAUGGCAAUCCGCGCGUCUGGGCUCGAGUCGCGCAGACGGCGAGUGCUUCGGUGCAUUUCUCGUAAAUGGCCCCCAUAAAAAGGGGCAUUAAUCCCGGAGAGGGGCUUGGCUCUCUAGGGCUAAGCCUCGUUCCCCCAGGUCGUCACCGGGUACCAGCGAAGGCGUGGUUGUGGGAGUAGCGGGAAGUGGAGUAGGGUUGGUUUUCCAUAUCUCUCGCGGGAUUUGGUUACCCUUCAAUUGCCUAUUCGGUCUCGUUACUAACCGUACGCCCUCCGUGUCAAACGGGGGCGGCCGCGGAUGCAACCUUUUGCUGCGCGCCCGGUUCGAUUUCUCUUCGUCGAUGCGCGCUCGUUCGGCGUGCCUCUGCCUGGUGUCGCGCGGAUGUGGCGGGAGAUGGGCGUGGAAUCUUCCUCGAGGAGAACGCGUCUUUCUUUCGUCCUCGCGCGGCGUCGCGUCAGCGGUGCGUCUGACGGGUGUGCUCUUGGCGACGGAGACGAGAAACGACGGCCGAGUAGAGCGGCUCUCCUCCCGACCCGUCUUGAAACACGG
This 1155-nucleotide ribosomal RNA is filed under the name uncultured fungus. RNAcentral's name for it is "partial 28S ribosomal RNA". It matches the Rfam family "Eukaryotic large subunit ribosomal RNA", at positions 24 to 664 of the family's 3401-position model. Lineage: Eukaryota; Fungi. The record is from RNAcentral.